GCCAAUCACUGCACUGCCCUCUCGCUCCUUCCCUGCUGCAAGACCGAUACUGGCGCGCUUAGCCCGCCAUCUCAAGGAUUUAAGGACUUGGGUAGUGACUUCCACAGGAAGAAGGUUCGGCGUUGGUGGAUCUAAAGCUGGUAUUGUUAGAAAAAAAUGUGGUUGGCUAAUAUGCUGGCUUCUUUAUCUCCUGAGGCUCUGCGCUCAUCAUAGCACAGGCCCAAAAGCAGGAUUCAAAGACCCUGUUGCCGCCGCUUCUAACCUCUUUGGAGGUGGGAGCCAAAGUCCACCUGGUGUCGGUGUCUGAUGAAACUUUCAACCACUUCCCUGCUACCUCCACGCCUCCUAGCACUUCCAGGACUGGUUUUCUGGUAGCUGCUAAGUCAUCUUCGUGCCAUAAAGCCAUGUAUUAGAUUUCCGGUCGGCAGGGGCCAAGUCUUCCCAGCCCUUGGAACCUGAGCCCUGUCUGGACUGUAAUUAAUGCGAUGUGGAGUCCCCUGUACUAAUGAUCGGAGGGCAACUGUUCACCACCAACACACACACACACACACACACACACACACACACAGACACACACACACACACGGUUUCACAGCAUCUCACUGGAUCUAGACCUCAUAUUGCCCUUGUUAGCCCGGUUCUACAGAUAAAUGGAAAUAAGUCACGUGCCUGGAAUGCAGCAGAACUACUCUGACCAAAUACCUAACUAAAGCAACAUAAGAGAGAAAGGUCUUGUUUGGGCUCACAGUUUAAGGGGAGGUCAAGCGUGGUGGGGAAGGCGCAGCCGCAGGACCGUGAGGCAGUGGUCAUCUCGUUGUCACAGGAAGCAAUGCACACUAGUACUUACAUCGCUUCUUUCUCCUUUUUCAGGUAUGAAUCGCAUCUCCAGGCGGGAGGACUGAUUGGCAGGCCUAGAGAACUGAGGGACCAAAGGGAAACACUAAGUAACGCCAAAACCAUAUCUGCAGGGCAACUUCUAACCCAGGGCAAGAGAGCAAAGAUCUUUGGACUAGGGGGCAGAGGGGGAAGAGCAGAAGCUUGGAGGCUUCCAAAAGACUGGAAACUUGGAAGAGGGGCUUUAUGAAUGAAUUGUGCCCCCCCCCAAAAAAAAGAUGCAGAACUAACAGAUACAGAUACUGACCUUCAUAGAUGGCAUCUUGAAGAAAUGUCUUCAGGAACAGGAAGGUAGCUCCACAGAUCCCUCCCCUGCAAACCCGACGGGUCAUUAAUGCCGCACACGGACACUUCACACUGUCGGUGAUAAUAAUUCAUCAACAUUUAGAGGGGCUCUCCAAAACCCCAGUGAAAUGAACGGCAAACAAUAAACUGUAUUUGGUCACAUGAUGAGAAACGUAUCGGGUAUUUGGUCACAUUAUAAGAAAUGUAACUAACAUGCCUCGGUCUGGAGCGGCCAUGGCCGUCCAUGACGGCUGCGAAGCCUCCUCGGGAUCGGUGCCCUUGUGAACUCCACUGUGUUUAGCGGCACUCUCUGCUCUGUCUCCCUCCCUGGUGCCCACAGCUGGCAAUCCCAGGGGUUCUCCCUAAUAAACCUAUUUAUGCAAAUCUCCCUCUGAGUCUGCUUUCCCAGGGAACUUGACCUACAACAGAGGGUAAAGGUGUCAAUUAUUCCCCAAUUAAAGUAUAUACUUA
Non-coding RNA from Peromyscus maniculatus bairdii (prairie deer mouse), 1650 nucleotides. The record is from RefSeq and is a predicted model, not a curated record. NCBI's taxonomy places the organism in Eukaryota, Metazoa, Chordata, Mammalia, Rodentia, Cricetidae.